Molecule: ribosomal RNA, 877 nt
Filed under: uncultured Staphylococcus sp.
Lineage: Bacteria; Bacillati; Bacillota; Bacilli; Caryophanales; Staphylococcaceae
Description: bacterial SSU rRNA
Rfam family: Bacterial small subunit ribosomal RNA
Source: RNAcentral
AGUCGAGCGAACGGACGAGAAGCUUGCUUCUCUGAUGUUAGCGGCGGACGGGUGAGUAACACGUGGAUAACCUACCUAUAAGACUGGGAUAACUUCGGGAAACCGGAGCUAAUACCGGAUAAUAUUUUGAACUGCAUGGUUCAAAAGUGAAAGACGGUCUUGCUGUCACUUAUAGAUGGAUCCGCGCUGCAUUAGCUAGUUGGUAAGGUAACGGCUUACCAAGGCAACGAUGCAUAGCCGACCUGAGAGGGUGAUCGGCCACACUGGAACUGAGACACGGUCCAGACUCCUACGGGAGGCAGCAGUAGGGAAUCUUCCGCAAUGGGCGAAAGCCUGACGGAGCAACGCCGCGUGAGUGAUGAAGGUCUUCGGAUCGUAAAACUCUGUUAUUAGGGAAGAACAUAUGUGUAAGUAACUGUGCACAUCUUGACGGUACCUAAUCAGAAAGCCACGGCUAACUACGUGCCAGCAGCCGCGGUAAUACGUAGGUGGCAAGCGUUAUCCGGAAUUAUUGGGCGUAAAGCGCGCGUAGGCGGUUUUUUAAGUCUGAUGUGAAAGCCCACGGCUCAACCGUGGAGGGUCAUUGGAAACUGGAAAACUUGAGUGCAGAAGAGGAAAGUGGAAUUCCAUGUGUAGCGGUGAAAUGCGCAGAGAUAUGGAGGAACACCAGUGGCGAAGGCGACUUUCUGGUCUGUAACUGACGCUGAUGUGCGAAAGCGUGGGGAUCAAACAGGAUUAGAUACCCUGGUAGUCCACGCCGUAAACGAUGAGUGCUAAGUGUUAGGGGGUUUCCGCCCCUUAGUGCUGCAGCUAACGCAUUAAGCACUCCGCCUGGGGAGUACGACCGCAAGGUUGAAACUCAAAGGAAUUGACGGGG